GCUCGGGACUAGGUUCCGGUUCUGGUCGUCCGCGUGCGUUGCGGGAGCGGGCCCCUCGGGGCCCGUUUCUGCGUUCGGACCCCGUCCCGAUCG
Molecule: transfer RNA, 93 nt
Filed under: Streptomyces violascens
Lineage: Bacteria; Bacillati; Actinomycetota; Actinomycetes; Kitasatosporales; Streptomycetaceae
Description: tRNA-Arg
Source: RNAcentral